CAGGCUCACCUGGGCCUAAAGAAAUAUCUUUCUACAGUCUGUUGGACAUUUCCAAAAUUUGGAAAUGUAAUGGUCAAUUCAUUGGAAAGAAACAUUU
Small nucleolar RNA from Neotoma lepida (desert woodrat), 97 nucleotides. Lineage: Eukaryota; Metazoa; Chordata; Mammalia; Rodentia; Cricetidae. The record is from Rfam.